AAUUUUCUCAUGUUUAUAUGUUUGUUUAUAUUUUCUGCAAAUCAAAGUAAAUAAUCAAACUCGUUGUUUUCAUGACUGAAUAAACUGAAAACUUUUUGGGACACGCCCCCUUUUUGUUGCACGCGGCCCGUGCGUGCGCACGGCUCCUUUCAACGGGUCAAGCGCAAGUUCGGGAGCCAUUUUAAAUCAUCGUGUAGCUGCAGCCGUCAACUGUCACCGGAUUACUCGGACGUUUGAUGGACGAAAACGCCGGUCGCACUCGGGGAUCGACACUUUUUGCCUGCCAUGACGAUGACGCGCCAGAGAUGCAGCAGCUAACAUCAUGCAGUGACAGUCUUUACAACAUUUGCAGUAAAGCGUUGAGCAGAGAGAGUCUUCGGAGCAGCAUCUUGGGGAGACACAAAUUAACCCGGUGGCCUGCUCAACUACUGGAUGAUCAAACAGACGAGAAAACUGCCCUCCUGAAAGCUCUGCUGAAUCUAAAGGACGUGGAAAAUGACACCAUCGAGGUUCUCCUAAAUAUGGCUGAAAACACUGGAGAUUUAAAAAAAAAUCUGAUCAACGCAUCUUACACAGAAUAUAAACAAAUGUCAGCAGAUGUGUGA
Molecule: long non-coding RNA, 605 nt
Filed under: Sparus aurata (gilthead seabream)
Lineage: Eukaryota; Metazoa; Chordata; Actinopteri; Spariformes; Sparidae
Description: lncRNA (ENSSAUG00010006278.1)
Source: RNAcentral